GGCGUCCGGUGUGGCGACGGGGAUGGGGCGGCUCUCGGCGACGGCGGGGAAGAACCGGGCGGCGUCGGGGUUCGGCGACGAGGGCGGAGGCGCCAUGGUGCGCGACGGCAGCAGGGGGUGUCGAGCGGCGUCGGGGCGCCUGUUCCCCCGAUCCAGAUCGGAAGGGAGCGAGGGGGGCGAGCGGGGUGGGGCGAGUGGGGGUCUCGUCCCCGAUCCAGACUGAGCGGAGAGGAGGGGAUCGGGGCGAGGGGAUCGGGG
This 258-nucleotide ribosomal RNA is filed under the name Triticum aestivum (bread wheat). RNAcentral's name for it is "partial small subunit ribosomal RNA". The record is from RNAcentral. Lineage: Eukaryota; Viridiplantae; Streptophyta; Magnoliopsida; Poales; Poaceae.